RNAcentral lists this transfer RNA (72 nucleotides) under Sphaerodactylus townsendi. Its description in RNAcentral is "tRNA-Ala". It matches the Rfam family "tRNA". Rfam says of the family: Transfer RNA (tRNA) molecules are approximately 80 nucleotides in length. Their secondary structure includes four short double-helical elements and three loops (D, anti-codon, and T loops). Further hydrogen bonds mediate the characteristic L-shaped molecular structure. tRNAs have two regions of fundamental functional importance: the anti-codon, which is responsible for specific mRNA codon recognition, and the 3' end, to which the tRNAs corresponding amino acid is attached (by aminoacyl-tRNA synthetases). tRNAs cope with the degeneracy of the genetic code in two manners: having more than one tRNA (with a specific anti-codon) for a particular amino acid; and 'wobble' base-pairing, i.e. permitting non-standard base-pairing at the 3rd anti-codon position. The record is from RNAcentral. Lineage: Eukaryota; Metazoa; Chordata; Lepidosauria; Squamata; Sphaerodactylidae.
GGGGCUGCAGCUCAGUGGUAGAGUAUCUCCUUCGCAUAUGGAAGAUCCCAGGUUCAAACCCUGGCAUCUCCA